GGUUUCCUGUUUUGAAAUUAAAAACAUGUGAAAUUCAAACCUUCUGUUCAAGUCUGAACAAAGAGUCAUGCCUUUAUGAUCAUUGAUGAUUCUGCACAAGGUACGGUCUCUUAACUAAGCAAAUAAGGAAUCUGUUUUGCUUUGAAAUAGAAACAGAAGUUGGCUUUAUUAAUGUCCUUAGUUUUCUUUCUUAUUGGAGACAUUUGUUUAGCUUCACUCUUGAGCUGCCUCAGUGUGGGCAAAGUCCCAAGUCCAAGUCCCAGAAAUUUACCUGUUAAUUGGAUAACAGGGAAGUCUGGAUCUAGUAAGUCAUGUGAUAAUUUAGUAACAAUGUAGUAAAAAAAUUUAAAACUCAAUGAAAAACACUGUGUUUAUCCAAUGCAGGUGCAAGUUUUGCCUUGGCCAGUUAUGUCUUAGCUGUGACUUUAGAAAUCUUUUGUUUUCCUUAAUGAUUGACUUCAUGAAGAAUAUAAGUAGUAAGUACAAACAUGCAAGAUAAGAAAUGAGAAUAAGAAAAUAUUUACA
RNAcentral lists this long non-coding RNA (525 nucleotides) under Homo sapiens (human). RNAcentral's name for it is "HSALNT0083782". The record is from RNAcentral. Lineage: Eukaryota; Metazoa; Chordata; Mammalia; Primates; Hominidae.